GCAACAACCUAGCCCAACCAUAACAAAAAACCUCAACAAAAAAAUCAUCCAACCAAAACCAACCAAAACAUUUUUACCAUCCUAGUAUAGGCGAUAGAAAAGA
Molecule: ribosomal RNA, 103 nt
Filed under: Heosemys annandalii (Yellow-headed temple turtle)
Lineage: Eukaryota; Metazoa; Chordata; Testudines; Geoemydidae
Also listed under: 1 other name
Description: partial 16S ribosomal RNA
Source: RNAcentral